Non-coding RNA from Podospora aff. communis PSN243, 91 nucleotides. NCBI's taxonomy places the organism in Eukaryota, Fungi, Ascomycota, Sordariomycetes, Sordariales, Podosporaceae. The record is from the annotation of a GenBank genome assembly.
GGUUGUAUAAUGUAGCGGUCAUCACAUCGGAUUCUGAUUCAACACCAGCUUGGAAAUUCCGGUAACCCCGGUUCGAUUCCGGGUACGACCU